This 200-nucleotide ribosomal RNA is filed under the name uncultured bacterium. Its description in RNAcentral is "partial 16S ribosomal RNA". It matches the Rfam family "Bacterial small subunit ribosomal RNA", at positions 328 to 539 of the family's 1533-position model. The record is from RNAcentral.
ACGCUCGACACCUACGGGGGCAGCAGUGGGGAAUAUUGGGCAAUGGAGGCAACUCUGACCCAGCAACGCCGCGUGAGUGAUGAAGGUCUUCGGAUUGUAAAACUCUUUAAGUAGGGACGAAGAAAGUGACGGUACCUACAGAAUAAGCCUCGGCUAACUACGUGCCAGUAGCCGCGGUAAUCUGAGCGGGCUGGCAAGGC